This 460-nucleotide ribosomal RNA is filed under the name uncultured bacterium. Its description in RNAcentral is "partial 16S ribosomal RNA". It matches the Rfam family "Bacterial small subunit ribosomal RNA", at positions 338 to 795 of the family's 1533-position model. The record is from RNAcentral.
CCUACGGGAGGCAGCAGUGAGGAAUAUUGGUCAAUGGACGAGAGUCUGAACCAGCCAAGUAGCGUGAAGGAUGACUGCCCUAUGGGUUGUAACCUUCUUUUAUAAAGGAAUAAAACGAGGCACGUGUGCCUUUUUGCAUGUCCUUUAUGAAUAAGGAUCGGCUAACUCCGUGCCAGCAGCCGCGGUAAUACGGAGGAUCCGAGCGUUAUCCGGAUUUAUUGGGUUUAAAGGGAGCGUAGAUGGGUUGUUAAGUCAGUUGUGAAAGUUUGCGGCUCAACCGUAAAAUUGCAAUUGAUACUGGCAGUCUUGAGUACAGUUGAGGUAGGCGGAAUUCGUGGUGUAGCGGUGAAAUGCUUAGAUAUCACGAAGAACCCCGAUUGCGAAGGCAGCUUACUAAACUGUGACUGACAUUGAUGCUCGAAAGUGUGGGUAUCAAACAGGAUUAGAUACCCUGGUAGUC